UCAAACUUUAUGGCUUAAAGGAACACAUUUGUCAUUUCCCAGGUUUGGAUAUGGCCCUUCCUAGUUCUCUGCUCAGGAGCUCACAGCCAGAAGCCAAGAUAAAAGCUGGACCAGUCACCUCCUUUGAGACUGUUGUCCUUUUUCAAGCUCAGUGGUGGUCAGCAGAAUUCAAGACAGAGGCCCUCAGCUCCAGAGACCCCACUGUCCUCUGAUGCGUGGCACUCUCCAGUGACUCUUCAUGGUGUGACACUCGGAUCCUUCAAGACUAGUGAAGAUCUCUCCUGUGCAUGCAGACAAGAUGGAAUCAUUUUGAGGGGAGGUGAUUGGAUGAGGUGUAUCACUCAGGGUGGGCGUGGAGGACCAUUUUAGAAUUCUGCCACCUGUGUCUCUUGUGAGUUGAACCAGCUGAAGGCUCUCCUCGAUCUCUCAGGCUGCGGCUUGAUCUGGAUGUCAGCAAGUUGAAACUGUAGCACGCCCGUCUUUUCUGAUCCAAGUGAAUAUCAGUGGGCAAGAGGCAGAGAACAGGAAGUCAAGACAUCACUGUGUUGCUGCUGGCAGCAGCAGGUUAUGGACCCCAUCCUGUGAUGUGUCAAAUGCGUGUGACUCCCCUCAGACCCUCUUGACGUUUGUCUGCACACCCAGGUGGGUGCGUUUGGAUUCCUCCAGGUGGCAGUGGCUGCCCUGGAGUCACUUCUGCAGGAAGGAGGCUCACCCUGGAAUAGCUGAUCUACAUUUCCGUAGGAUCAAUGCUGUGGAGACUGCAUACACUGUUUUUCCACCUUUGCACCAGCAAUGUUGGGGGCUGUUGCCAAAUAACGAAAAGCCUGAUGGUGGUGCCAGAUAG
RNAcentral lists this long non-coding RNA (844 nucleotides) under Fukomys damarensis (Damara mole-rat). RNAcentral describes it as "lncRNA (ENSFDAG00000029206.1)". Lineage: Eukaryota; Metazoa; Chordata; Mammalia; Rodentia; Bathyergidae. The record is from RNAcentral.